RNAcentral lists this long non-coding RNA (1213 nucleotides) under Salmo salar (Atlantic salmon). Its description in RNAcentral is "lncRNA (ENSSSAG00000094765.1)". The record is from RNAcentral. Lineage: Eukaryota; Metazoa; Chordata; Actinopteri; Salmoniformes; Salmonidae.
GGUGAUACAUGAGCUGAAAAGGAGACUUGAUCAGGUUGUAAAUCACAGCUCGUACAUUGCUUGCUGCCUGAUGUUUAAGUUUCAGUCACUCAAUAUUUUGGACAAAUACGGGCGAAAGUAAGGCGGGAAUCUCAACACAAUCAAACUAGCAUGGGCAAUGAUCAUAAAUCAUAACGUGGCUAAUAGGCUAUCUUAUCAACAGUUUUAAUGUAUUUCUUGAGUACACUAAAAAAAGAGAAACCUGUUGUAGCUAGCUAGCUAGCUGCUGGGAGGAUGUAAUGUCAUCACUUGGACGAGUGGCUAAAGCUAAUAAGUUGUAAUUUGGUCAUUUGUUAGCUAGCUAACAAGAAAUGUGACACACCUCUUGAACUAUUGUUAUCCAUGGUUAGCAUAUGUCUUAGUUGUCAAUCAAAUGUAUUUGGCAUUGAUCAAAUUGUCAGGCAAGAAAGCUGGUUAAUCCUAUUCAGUUGUCAAAAACGUGGGUUAUGGUACAUAAGUAGGUAUUUGAGGGCAGGCUGCAGCAGGGCUAGCGAGCAGGCUACUACACAGGCUACUACCAGUGCAAUUACUCGCUGAAAAAGUUUGACAGAGUUUAUCCAAAGAUACUGGUUUGCCCUUUUGUCUGUGGUUUAUCCCUCACUAGAUUUCAUUUGAGCUGUUGCAGCUCCCUGUGAAAAAAUGGUUCAAAGUGAAUUGCAUAUCGCCAUAUCGCAAUGGCUUAUUUCCAUAUACACCAACUGUAGCUCUGAUUGGUUAUGGUGCAUCGUUCUGUUUAAAGACUGGGCAUGGACAAGAUUGACGCGUUUUUAUUCAUUUUUAAUCGACUGUGGUGUCUAUUAAUUGUCCAAACGCACGGCCGCUUUCCCAUUCACAUUAAUAUAGAAAUUUAACAAAUACCCAAUUCAACUUAAUUCCCAAACAUUCUAUGAUUUAAAAUGUAAAUUAUAAUAAUUCACCAUAUUCUUCCCGAGGGUGUAAAUAAACAUAUUUUAAUUAGAUUUAAUGAUGCUAAAACGCUGUUAGUUCUUAUAAGGUUUUUGUUCACAGACUUUUACCACAUUGUUUUCAUCAAAGGAUAAAUGUGUGUUGAUUCAGAAUGUGGUGUUGAUACAAAAUUAUUUGGCAGGAUUGGAUUGACUUGUUGAUUGCAGAAGGCAUAAACUUGUUUUAAAAGAGCAACCUGCAGUUCAAACAAUAACAAAGUGUCUCAUCU